UAAAUUUUAAAAUUAUAAUACUAAAAUAGUAAAUAAUUAUUUAUUAAAACUUAAAUAAUUUGGCGGUAUUUUAGUUCAUUUAGAGGAAUCUGUUUAAUAAUUGAUAUUCCACGAAUAAAUUUACUUAAUUUUUAAUUUUGUAUAUCGUUGUUAUAAAAAUAUUUUUUAAUAAAAUUAAUAUUUAAAAAUUAUUAUAAAAAUUUAAAUCAGAUCAAGAUGCAGAUUAUAAUUAAGAAUAUAAUGGAUUACAAUAAAAUUAUUUAAAUGGAUAUUAAUUUGUAAGAUUUAAUUGAAAGUGGAUUUAAAUGUAAUUUUAUUUAAUUUAAUAAAAUGAUUAAAAAUUAAAAUAUGU
Molecule: ribosomal RNA, 352 nt
Filed under: Acrapex mitawa
Lineage: Eukaryota; Metazoa; Arthropoda; Insecta; Lepidoptera; Noctuidae
Description: partial 12S ribosomal RNA
Source: RNAcentral